AUGAAAUAAAAUGUGAAAAAAUAAAAAUCAGAUGAAGAAAAAUAAAAGAGAAUUUUAGAAAUUAUUUUGAGAUUUUUUGGAUGUAAAAUGAAAUUACUAUGAAUUUUAAAAGAAAAAGAAAUUAAAAAUAAUAAAAGAUAAAGAAUUAAAAAUCAUAAAAACACGGAACUUGGGAUCACACCUCAUUAAUUGACGUGGCAAAUCCAACAGCCCUCAAGUUAGGAUGCACGAUGGAACAACGCAGCCAAC
RNAcentral lists this long non-coding RNA (249 nucleotides) under Lathyrus oleraceus (garden pea). RNAcentral's name for it is "Pisum sativum (pea) long non-coding RNA (PSAT_LNC010634)". Lineage: Eukaryota; Viridiplantae; Streptophyta; Magnoliopsida; Fabales; Fabaceae. The record is from RNAcentral.